This 29-nucleotide non-coding RNA is filed under the name Rattus norvegicus (Norway rat). Lineage: Eukaryota; Metazoa; Chordata; Mammalia; Rodentia; Muridae. The record is from RNAcentral.
UCCGAGAAAUAUUAAAUUGAGGAGGUGAU